This 489-nucleotide ribosomal RNA is filed under the name uncultured bacterium. RNAcentral's name for it is "bacterial SSU rRNA". It matches the Rfam family "Bacterial small subunit ribosomal RNA", at positions 28 to 507 of the family's 1533-position model. The record is from RNAcentral.
GACGAACGCUGGCGGCGUGGAUUAGGCAUGCAAGUCGAACGGUAGGAUACCUUCGGGUAUCUGAGAGUGGCGAACGGGUGAGUAACACGUAGGUGAUCUACCCUCAAGAUUGGGACAACCCAGGGAAACUUGGGCUAAUACCGGAUGAAAGCAGCAGUGAUGUUGUUUGAAAGGUGGCGUAAGCUGCCGUUUGGGGAUGAGCCUGCGCUCUAUUAGUUAGUUGGCGGGGUAAAGGCCCACCAAGGCGAUGAUAGAUAGGCGGCCUUAACGGGUGGUCGCCCACACUGGGAUUGAGAUACGGCCCAGACUCCUACGGGAGGCAGCAGUCGAGAAUAGUCUACAAUGGCCGAAAGGCUGAUAGUGCGACGCCGCGUGAACGAAGAAGCCCGUUCGGGGUGUAAAGUUCUUUUAUAUGUGAGCAGUGCUUUCUAUGUGAACAGCAUGGGGAGAGAGAUAUUAGCAUAUGAAUAAGCAACGGCUAACUCCGUG